CUCAGUUCGGAUCGGAGUCUGCAACCCGACUCCGUGAAGCUGGAUUCGCUAGUAACCGCGCAUCAGCCAUGGCGCGGUGAAUACGUUCCCGGGCCUUGUACACACCGCCCGUCAAGCCAUGGAAGCCGGGGGUGCCUGAAGUGUGCAGCCGCAAGGAGCGCCCUAAGGUAAAACCGGUGACUGGGGCUAAGUCGUAACAAGGUAAC
This 206-nucleotide ribosomal RNA is filed under the name uncultured bacterium. RNAcentral's name for it is "partial 16S ribosomal RNA". It matches the Rfam family "Bacterial small subunit ribosomal RNA", at positions 1287 to 1500 of the family's 1533-position model. The record is from RNAcentral.